GUCUCCGUGGCGCAAUUGGUUAGCGCGUUCGACUGUUAAUCGAGAGGUUGGCAGUUCAAGCCUGCCCGGGGACG
Molecule: transfer RNA, 74 nt
Filed under: Puccinia graminis f. sp. tritici CRL 75-36-700-3
Lineage: Eukaryota; Fungi; Basidiomycota; Pucciniomycetes; Pucciniales; Pucciniaceae
Also listed under: 1 other name
Description: tRNA-Asn (GTT) (tRNA-Asn-GTT-4-1, tRNA-Asn-GTT-6-1)
Rfam family: tRNA
About the family: Transfer RNA (tRNA) molecules are approximately 80 nucleotides in length. Their secondary structure includes four short double-helical elements and three loops (D, anti-codon, and T loops). Further hydrogen bonds mediate the characteristic L-shaped molecular structure. tRNAs have two regions of fundamental functional importance: the anti-codon, which is responsible for specific mRNA codon recognition, and the 3' end, to which the tRNAs corresponding amino acid is attached (by aminoacyl-tRNA synthetases). tRNAs cope with the degeneracy of the genetic code in two manners: having more than one tRNA (with a specific anti-codon) for a particular amino acid; and 'wobble' base-pairing, i.e. permitting non-standard base-pairing at the 3rd anti-codon position.
Source: RNAcentral